UACAGAGGGGGCGAGCGUUAAUCGGAAUUACUGGGCGUAAAGCGUGCGUAGACGGUCGUGCAAGUCGGGUGUGAAAGCCCCAGGCUCAACCUGGGAAUUGCAUUCGAGACUGCUCGGCUAGGGUGCGGAAGAGGGAAGCGGAAUUUCCGGUGUAGCGGUGAAAUGCGUAGAUAUCGGAAGGAACACCAGUGGCGAAAGAGGCUUCCUGGUCCGACACCGACGGUCAGGCACGAAAGCGUGGGGAGCAAACAGG
This 253-nucleotide ribosomal RNA is filed under the name uncultured bacterium. RNAcentral describes it as "partial 16S ribosomal RNA". It matches the Rfam family "Bacterial small subunit ribosomal RNA", at positions 524 to 776 of the family's 1533-position model. The record is from RNAcentral.